UAAUAUUAUUAUGGGUGUUUCAAAAACGAUUGUGACUUUUUUUCUUGUAAUAGUAUUUACAGUUCUGUUGUCCAACCAUAACAUUUUGGUUUCAGGUGAAGAGAUAGAAAAAAUUUCAUAUGACCACUGCGAUACGUUGUGUACGCCUUAUUACGGAUGGCAUGAAUGUUUAACUGACUGUAAUAAUGAAGGCUGGGCAACUGGGAUAUGUGCUUCUCGUUCUUCUAAAGAACCUAAGAGAUGUUGUUGUCAAACGUAAUCUUUUAUUAAAAAGAAAAAGAACACAUAAUCUUCGCUAUAAUGAAUAAUUGAUGAUUCGAGUGUUGUAAAAGAUCCUAUGGAAUUUAUGAAAUGGAAAAAAAAAAACAGCGUUUUU
Arabidopsis lyrata subsp. lyrata is the source of this 376-nucleotide long non-coding RNA. RefSeq lists it as uncharacterized. Lineage: Eukaryota; Viridiplantae; Streptophyta; Magnoliopsida; Brassicales; Brassicaceae. The record is from RefSeq and is a predicted model, not a curated record. The transcript is spliced from 2 exons.